GAUUCCAGGGAUCGAAUUCCACAUUACAAGGUAAAUGGCACUGGAAUUGGUGAGCAGCCACAACAGACAUUGACCACCAGCUCCAUACAUUCCGAAGAUCAUGUACAAGCAGAGACGCAGACCACUCCAUUCGAUAAUAUUGCCGAUAUGGCCCAUGCAAUGGACUCUAAUCAGGAAAGUCACCAUCGCAAAAUUAAGAUUUUACUCACCGGUAAAUCUAUUUCUCGUAGUCCGUAGUGGAUGCUGGGAACUCCGAAAGGACCAUGGGGAAUAGCGGCUCCGCAGGAGACUGGGCACAACUAAAGAAAGCUUUUAGGUCACCUGGUGUGCACUGGCUCCUCCCACUAUGACCCUCCUCCAAG
Pseudophryne corroboree (corroboree frog) is the source of this 362-nucleotide long non-coding RNA. RefSeq lists it as uncharacterized. Lineage: Eukaryota; Metazoa; Chordata; Amphibia; Anura; Myobatrachidae. The record is from RefSeq and is a predicted model, not a curated record. The transcript has 3 exons.